AAUGGGUCAGCGACUUAUAUUCUGUAGCAAGGUUAACCGAAUAGGGGAGCCGAAGGGAAACCGAGUCUUAACUGGGCGUUAAGUUGCAGGGUAUAGACCCGAAACCCGGUGAUCUAGCCAUGGGCAGGUUGAAGGUUGGGUAACACUAACUGGAGGACCGAACCGACUAAUGUUGAAAAAUUAGCGGAUGACUUGUGGCUGGGGGUGAAAGGCCAAUCAAACCGGGAGAUAGCUGGUUCUCCCCGAAAGCUAUUUAGGUAGCGCCUCGUGAAUUCAUCUCCGGGGGUAGAGCACUGUUUCGGCAAGGGGGUCAUCCCGACUUACCAACCCGAUGCAAACUGCGAAUACCGGAGAAUGUUAUCACGGGAGACACACGGCGGGUGCUAACGUCCGUCGUGAAGAGGGAAACAACCCAGACCGCCAGCUAAGGUCCCAAAGUCAUGGUUAAGUGGGAAACGAUGUGGGAAGGCCCAGACAGCCAGGAUGUUGGCUUAGAAGCAGCCAUCAUUUAAAGAAAGCGUAAUAGCUCACUGGUCGAGUCGGCCUGCGCGGAAGAU
This 557-nucleotide ribosomal RNA is filed under the name Escherichia coli. Its description in RNAcentral is "partial 23S ribosomal RNA". It matches the Rfam family "Bacterial large subunit ribosomal RNA", at positions 614 to 1171 of the family's 2925-position model. Lineage: Bacteria; Pseudomonadati; Pseudomonadota; Gammaproteobacteria; Enterobacterales; Enterobacteriaceae. The record is from RNAcentral.